GGUCUGAUCAUGGCUCAGAUUGAACGCUGGCGGGAUGCUUUACACAUGCAAGUCGAACGGCAGCACGGACUUCGGUCUGCGGUGGCGAGUGGCGAACGGGUGAGUAAUGCAUCGGAACGUGCCUAGUAGCGGGGAUAACUACGCGAAAGCAGAACAAUACCGCAUACCGCCCUUCGGGGGAAAGCGGGGGGACCUUCGGGCCUUCGCACCAUUAGAGCGGCCGAUAUCGGGAUUAGCUAUUGGUGGGGUAACGGCUCACCAAGGCGACGAUCCGUAGCUGGUUUGAGGACGACCAGCCACACUGGGACUGAGACACGGCCCAGACUCCUACGGGAGGCAGCAGUGGGGAAUUUUUGGACAAUGGGGGAAACCCUGAUCCAGCCACCGCGUGCGAUGAAGGCCUUCGGGUUGUAAAGCACUUUUGCAGGAAAGAAAACGGCACGGGAUAAUACUCCCGUGCAACUGACGGUGUCUGCAGAAUAAGCACCGGCUAACUACGUGUGCCAGCAGCCGCGGUAAUACGUAGGGUACAAGCGUUAAUCGGAAUUACUGGGCGAAGCGUGCGCAGGCGGUUCGAAAAAGAAAGAUGUGAAAUCCCAGAGCUUAACUUUGGAACUGCAUUUUUAACUACCGAGCUAGAGUGUGUCAGAGGGAGUGUGGAAUUCGCGUGUAGCAGUGAAAUGCGUAGAUAUGCGGAGGAACACCUGAUGGCGAAGGCAACCUCCUGGGAUAACACUGACGCCUGCGCACGAAAGCGUGGGGGAUAAACAGGAUUAGAUACCCUGGUAGUCCACGCCUCCUAAACGAUGUCAACUAGCUGUUGGGGCCUUCGGCCUUCGGUAGCGCAGCUAACGCGUGAAGUUGACCGCCUGGGGAGUACAGUCGCAAGAUUAAAACUCAAAGAAUUGACGGGGACCCGCACAAGCGGUGGAUGAUGUGGAUUAAUUCGAUGCAACGCGAAAAACCUUACCUACCCUUGACAUGUCUGGAAUCCCGAAGAGAUUUGGGAGUGCUCGCAAGAGAACCGGAACACAGGUGCUGCAUGGCUGUCGUCAGCUCGUGUCGUGAGAUGCUGGGUUAAGUCCGCAACGAGCGCAACCUUGUCAUUAGUUGCUACGAAAGGGCACUCUAAUGACUGCCGGUGACAAACCGGAGGAAGGUGGGGAUGACGUCAAGUCCUCAUGGCCCUUAUGGCAGGGGCUUCACACGUCAUACAAUGGUCGGGACAGAGGGUCGCCAACCCGCGAGGGGGAGCCAAUCCCAGAAACCCGAUCGCAGUCCGGAUCGCAGUCUGCAACUCGACUGCGUAGUCGGAAUCGCUAGUAAUCGCGGAUCAGCAUGUCGCGGUGAAUACGUUCCCGGUCUUGUACACACCGCCCGUCACACCAUGGGAGUGGGUUUUACCAGAAGUAGUUAGCCUAACCGUAAGGAGGGCGAUUACCACGGUAGGAUUCAUGAUCAGGUGAAGUCGUAACAAGGUAG
Molecule: ribosomal RNA, 1482 nt
Filed under: uncultured Bordetella sp.
Lineage: Bacteria; Pseudomonadati; Pseudomonadota; Betaproteobacteria; Burkholderiales; Alcaligenaceae
Description: partial 16S-23S ribosomal RNA intergenic spacer
Rfam family: Bacterial small subunit ribosomal RNA
Source: RNAcentral